This 490-nucleotide ribosomal RNA is filed under the name uncultured bacterium. RNAcentral describes it as "partial 16S ribosomal RNA". It matches the Rfam family "Bacterial small subunit ribosomal RNA", at positions 29 to 505 of the family's 1533-position model. The record is from RNAcentral.
AGUGAACGCUGGCGGUAGGCCUAACACAUGCAAGUCGAACGGCAGCACAGUAAGAGCUUGCUCUUACGGGUGGCGAGUGGCGGACGGGUGAGGAAUACAUCGGAAUCUACUUUUUCGUGGGGGAUAACGUAGGGAAACUUACGCUAAUACCGCAUACGACCUACGGGUGAAAGCAGGGGAUCUUCGGACCUUGCGCGAUUGAAUGAGCCGAUGUCGGAUUAGCUAGUUGGCGGGGUAAAGGCCCACCAAGGCGACGAUCCGUAGCUGGUCUGAGAGGAUGAUCAGCCACACUGGAACUGAGACACGGUCCAGACUCCUACGGGAGGCAGCAGUGGGGAAUAUUGGACAAUGGGCGCAAGCCUGAUCCAGCCAUACCGCGUGGGUGAAGAAGGCCUUCGGGUUGUAAAGCCCUUUUGUUGGGAAAGAAAAGCAGCAGGUUAAUACCCCGCUGUUCUGACGGUACCCAAAGAAUAAACACCGGCUAACUUCG